Non-coding RNA from Kwoniella shivajii, 98 nucleotides. The record is from the annotation of a RefSeq genome assembly. NCBI's taxonomy places the organism in Eukaryota, Fungi, Basidiomycota, Tremellomycetes, Tremellales, Cryptococcaceae.
UGCUUCAUGGCUAAGCUGGUUACGGCGUCCGACUGUUAAUUCAAUCGAACAGUUGAAAAGCAAUCGGAAGAUCGAGAGUUCGAUCCUCUCUGAAGCAG